CCUAGGUGACAGAGCAAGACUCGUUUCCAAAAAAAAAUUAAUUUUAAUUUUAAAAAUUAAUAAGUCAACUAAGUCAGCUAAUCAGCAUGACUAUGUAAGUUCAUUUUCUCUUUUCAGGCACUAGAUUGUGGUUCCCACUGGGAAAAUACAAUACUGCGGAGGAUGGAAUAUUCAUCUGUACUGAGUGUGGAAAAGAAUUUGGCAUGAUAAUAAGCAGCCUGAUUUGGGACACAUGUAAGGCACAAGCAUAAAGCAAGAAGAUAGUUUCUGCAAACCAGGAAGGAGGCCCUCAUCAGGAACCAAAACUUGAUCUUGAUCUUGGACUUCUCAGCCCC
Molecule: long non-coding RNA, 335 nt
Organism: Symphalangus syndactylus (siamang)
Lineage: Eukaryota; Metazoa; Chordata; Mammalia; Primates; Hylobatidae
Source: RefSeq, a predicted model, not a curated record